This 458-nucleotide ribosomal RNA is filed under the name uncultured bacterium. Its description in RNAcentral is "partial 16S ribosomal RNA". It matches the Rfam family "Bacterial small subunit ribosomal RNA", at positions 338 to 795 of the family's 1533-position model. The record is from RNAcentral.
CCUACGGGGGGCAGCAGUGAGGAAUAUUGGUCAAUGGGCGAGAGCCUGAACCAGCCAAGUCGCGUGAGGGAGUACUGCCCUAUGGGUUGUAAACCUCUUUUGUCGGUGAGCAAAAGCCGGACGUGUCCGGCUGUGAGAGUACCCGAAGAAAAAGCAUCGGCUAACUCCGUGCCAGCAGCCGCGGUAAUACGGAGGAUGCGAGCGUUAUCCGGAUUUAUUGGGUUUAAAGGGUGCGCAGGCGGAUUUUUAAGUCAGCGGUAAAAUCGUGGGGCUCAACCCCAUCCAGCCGUUGAAACUGGGGAUCUAGAGUGUGCGAGAGGUAUGCGGAAUGCGUGGUGUAGCGGUGAAAUGCAUAGAUAUCACGCAGAACCCCGAUUGCGAAGGCAGCAUACCGGUGCACAACUGACGCUCAGGCACGAAAGCGUGGGUAUCGAACAGGAUUAGAUACCCCAGUAGUC